AUAUGGGCAUGAUUGGUUGCCCUCAUAAGAGCCAAUAAAAGGCCCUCUUCUUCAACCUUCUUCUCCUUUUGGUAGAACUCGAAUUUGUCGGUGAAUCCGGUAGAAAAAUCCCGGAUCUUGCUGGUUUUGAGAUUAGAUUCGGCGACUGAGGCAUUCCACCAUCCGAGACAAAAGCAGUGAUCGCGCGCGAACCGCCGUCUAUCGCAACACUGCUGGGGAGCUGGCGUUGGUGGAUGUUGGUAGAAUCGGCAGUGAUGACAGAAGCAGGUUUUGGAUAAGCUGAUUGCCGUUGUGUAUGAAGAUAUGGAGGGUAUUUUGAGAGGAGUUAGGAAGAGAUUUGAUGUCGUAGGCCUGGAAUUUCCAAAAGUCGAGGUUCGGUUUGAAGAAAAAGUGGGGGUUCGUUAAAAGCCGCUUUGAGAAUGUGAUUCUUCUUGACAAAAGGUUGGCUGGGGAUCGUCACUGAAAUUAAAAAUGAAGGGCAACUUGGCAAAAUUGAGGCGUGCGGAAGAAAAGAGGGAGGGGCAGCGGCAGUUUGAAGCGAACCUCGUCAGUUUUAGAUUGUUAAACAAGAAUAUUGUGGAGUAAUUUCAGGGAUUUGUGCUCAACAAUCUCUGGAGGCCUAUUUUUGCUAGUUGAAUGUUGUGUAGAGGUAAGAAAUUUAUGGAAGAGUAGUUUAUUAGAAUUGUUGUUUAUCUAAAAUGAUGUGUAUAAUUUAGUCGAAUUGCAAGCGGAAUUUCUUUCUUGUUGGAGUGUGCAUUAUGAGGAUACAAUGGUAUCAAGUUAAGAAGUUGGGAGCUUGUGUUUCGUGAUGGUUAAGAACAACCACAGAGCUUCAUCUUUGUGAAUGUUUUUAUGCUGUUCUUGUUUAAGAGCACUGAUUUUUUUA
Salvia splendens (bonfire salvia) is the source of this 886-nucleotide long non-coding RNA. RefSeq lists it as uncharacterized. The transcript has 3 exons. The record is from RefSeq and is a predicted model, not a curated record. NCBI's taxonomy places the organism in Eukaryota, Viridiplantae, Streptophyta, Magnoliopsida, Lamiales, Lamiaceae.